This 247-nucleotide ribosomal RNA is filed under the name uncultured bacterium. Its description in RNAcentral is "partial small subunit ribosomal RNA". It matches the Rfam family "Bacterial small subunit ribosomal RNA", at positions 26 to 278 of the family's 1533-position model. The record is from RNAcentral.
AGGACGAACGCUGGCGGCGUGCUUAACACAUGCAAGUCGAGCGGAAAGGCCCUUCGGGGUACUCGAGCGGCGAACGGGUGAGUAACACGUGAGCAACCUGCCCUUAGCUCCGGGAUAGCUCCGGGAAACCGGAAUUAAUACCGGAUACAACCACGGCCGACAUCUGCUGUGGUGGAAAGGAUUCCGGCUAAGGAUGGGCUCGCGGCCUAUCAGCUAGUUGGUGGAGUAACGGCCCACCAAGGCGACG